RNAcentral lists this ribosomal RNA (435 nucleotides) under uncultured bacterium. Its description in RNAcentral is "partial 16S ribosomal RNA". It matches the Rfam family "Bacterial small subunit ribosomal RNA", at positions 28 to 507 of the family's 1533-position model. The record is from RNAcentral.
GAUGAACGCUGGCGGUAUGCUUAACACAUGCAAGUCGAACGGACUCUUCGGAGUUAGUGGCGGACGGGUGUGUAACGCGUGAGAAUCUGGCUUUGGGUUCGGGACAACCACUGGAAACGGUGGCUAAUACCGGAUGUGCCGAGAGGUAAAAGAGAAAUUGCCUGAAGAUGAGCUCGCGUCUGAUUAGCUAGUUGGUGAGGUAAAGGCUCACCAAGGCAGCGAUCAGUAGCUGGUCUGAGAGGAUGACCAGCCACACUGGGACUGAGACACGGCCCAGACUCCUACGGGAGGCAGCAGUGGGGAAUGAUCCGCAAUGGGCGAAAGCCUGACGGAGCAAUACCGCGUGAGGGAAGAAGGCUCUUGGGUUGUAAACCUCUUUACGUAGGGAAGAACAAAAUGACGGUACCUAAGGAAUCAGCAUCGGCUAACUCCGUG